RNAcentral lists this non-coding RNA (240 nucleotides) under uncultured alveolate. The record is from RNAcentral.
CACUGCUGCAGCCGGAGCGUUUUGUCACCUUGGGUAUCGACCCGCCAAAGGGAGUGCUGCUGUACGGACCGCCGGGGACGGGCAAGACCCUGACGGCUCGUGCAGUGGCCAACCGCACCGACGCCUGCUUCAUCUGCGUCAUCGGAUCGGAGCUCGUCCAAAAGUAUGUGGGUGAGGGUGCGCGUAUGGUGCGUGAGCUGUUCCAGAUGGCCCGCUCCAAGAAGGCGUGCAUCCUGUUCA